Epinephelus fuscoguttatus (brown-marbled grouper) is the source of this 2147-nucleotide RNA transcript. RefSeq lists it as uncharacterized. The transcript has 11 exons. The record is from RefSeq and is a predicted model, not a curated record. NCBI's taxonomy places the organism in Eukaryota, Metazoa, Chordata, Actinopteri, Perciformes, Serranidae.
GCAGCCCAUUUUGCCAGAACCUCAGAAAGUCAUCAAAGAAGAUGACAUCAUUGGCAUCAGAGCUGCACUGAUUUAUGAAAACUGCCUAGAGCAACUCGUCUCCUUCUUAACUCUGCCUGUAGACAGAUGUACGGGCGUGCUGAGGUCCGGUCAAGUGUGUGACAGUGCUGGCCCAUUUCAAACAAACAUCGCUGUCAGGGGCACUGCAAUGAGCAUUGAAUGGAUCUGCCCCAAUGGACACUGUCUAUGGAGGUGGAAUUCCCAGCCCGUGUUGAAGUUCGGCUUGCAGGCCGGGGACUUCCUUCUUUCCAGCAGCAUUUUGUUGUCUGGCAACAACUAUGCCAAAGUUUCUCUCCUGUUCAAAUUCAUGAACAUUAAAAUGGUCAACCCCAACACCUACUUCACCAUUCAGGACACUUACUGUGUUGACAUUAUAAAAGAAUUCUGGGAGGAGAAGAGUUCUAAGGCAAUCAGCCAACUUCAAGGAAAAAAUGUUGUGGUCCCAGGUGAUGGCAGAAAUGACUCACCAGGGCAUAGUGCGCAGUACUGCAGCUACACUACCAUGGAACUUGAGUCCAAGGAAAUCAUCCAUCUGGCUACUGUAGACAAGCGGCAGACAAACUGGAACUCCAACAUCAUGGAGAAAGAGGGUUUCAUCCAGACUGUGGACAAGCUGCCAAAAGAGAUAAAGCCAGUGGAGUUCUGCACGGACGCCCAUGUUCAGAUUGGAGCCCUCUUGAACCCAGACAAAGGCAAAUAUAAGUCUCUUGGAAUUCACCACAGCCUUGACAUGUGGCAUGGUGCCAAAAAUCUGGCCAAAAAAAUCUCUACUGCAGGAAAGGUAAAAGGACAGAAUCUUCUCCUUCAUUGGUUGAGGGAUAUUGUCAACCAUUUUUGGUGGUCCUGCAAGACAGCAGAGACAUAUGAGCAGUUUUUUGCACUUUGGAUUGGAGUUCUGCGUCAUGUCUGCAACAAUCAUACCUGGGAAACAGGAGGCUGUCAUCAUGACCAUCUUGAAGAUGCGCAGAGAAAACAGUGGAUUGAGAGGGACUCAAAAUGCCACAAAACGCUAGCAAAUGUCAUCCUCAACAAGCACUGGCUGAAAGACGUCCACAAAUAUCUGCGCUUCAGAUCAACAGCACAUCUGGAAUCAUUCCAGAACCAUGUUCUGAUGUACGCCAGCAAGCAACACGCAUUCACUCCCCGAGUGUACAAAUCCAGGGUUCUGCUUGCAGCACUGGAUUAUAAUUUCCACCGUGAAUGACCGACCUACAGAACAGCCACGGGCCAACAAAUUAUUAUAUUUGGCAGUAUGGCUGUGUUCUGGGGGCCCCUGCCUUUCCUAGGCCUACGCAGAAAGCCUAAGGUGGAGACAACACAUCUCCCUGUCCUUUCAAGUACCUAUCUGGAAAGCCUGCCCUUCCACGCGCAAACGAGUAAAAGGUUUUGCAUCAGAUUUUUUCUUGGCUGCAAGGCUUUGUCACUUGAAUGUAAACACAUGUCAUUUUUGGGCAUUUGCUGGAACAAAACAGGAGAGGAUCUUCCCAAACUGCUGACACCCAAUUGUUGAGUAAUAUACAAAACAGACUUUUAGAAGGGAAGAAAAGACAGCCCAGUUCCCAGAAGAAAUUGCUGACAUUCAGAGAAGGGGGAUGGUGGAUGCUGUGACACCUUGGUGAGACGCCUGCCAAGCUGCAGACCACUGUUCAGAUCAAUAAACAACAAAGACGGUAGUGUUUAAGCGAGUCAUCGGUUUUUGUUAAGUGGCUAUUUAGCCAUCAAACAUGGUGUUUUAUAGAAAUCUGUUGCUGUUUUUCAGCGGGCAUAGUCCCAGAGAAAGUUUUUUUUUUUUUUUAACAGCUUACCCAACUGGGAUUAUGCCCUAAUACUGGGUAUUUUAAGCCUCAACAGGAUAUUUUCCUAGUCAUGACCAUGUGGAUUUUAUGUGCCUGAACCACACAUUAACCACAGUGUAGCUGAAUUGAAAAGUUUCAACCAAUCCACCACAUCCUAGCGUAUAAAUGUGACAUAUUUGUAGUUUGCAGAAACAUACAAUUCCAACAGGAAUCCUAAAUAUAAAGAUGCAUAUCUUGUUUUUAAAGAUCACUGUGAAUACAGCAGGAAAAUCUGAAUUUUGACCGUAAAAA